AGCUCGUCUGUUUUGUUUUAAAAACUUAAAAACGCUCACUUCCCGCCGAUAAUGCAAAUGACAAAAAAGAAAAACAGAAAAAAGGUGACCACUGAGAGAGAGCUUCUCCCCAGAUGAACGGUACAAAUAAUAUAUGCGCCCACAGCUGAUACGGUGGUAAUAUGCUAUUUUUAAUCCCAAUUCCCAACAACUCGAUCGCUCAGUCCGCCGAGACGAUCGAAGAGUAGGAGGAAGAGGCCAAGAGGAGAAGGAAGGAACUCAGCAGCAGCGGCAGCAGCUUGUGAUGGUAACGUUUCUGCAUUCCAAGUUAACAACGACGGCUCCUCCUCUUCCGCUAGUGCCGUUGGUGCAGAUGGUGGUGCUGCUGCUGCUGCUGUCGGUGAUGGCACUGGCGGGGCCGACGAGCGACACGGACGCCCUGGCCAUGUUCCGGCAGAGCAGCGAUGCUCACGGCAACCUGGCGGGCAACUGGACGUCGGCGUCGGGGGACGCCUGCUCCGGGCAGUGGGUGGGCGUGGGAUGCACCGGGGGGAGGGUGACGUCGCUGUCCGUCCCCUCCCUCGACCUCAGGGGGCCCCUCGACCCGCUCUCCCGCCUCGACCAGCUCCGCAUCCUCGACCUCCGCGGCAACCGCCUCAACGGCACGCUCCUCCCCAUCCUCCCCUCCCUCCCCAACCUCAAGCUCCUCUACCUCUCCCGCAACGAGCUCUCCGGGCCCAUCCCCCCGGCCAUCGCCCUCCUCACCCGCCUCCUCCGCGUCGACCUCUCCGACAACGACCUCCGCGGGCCCAUCCCGGGCGCCGACGCCCUAUCCAACCUCACCCGCCUCCUCACCCUCCGCCUCCAGAACAACCUGCUCUCCGGGGCCCUCCCCGAUCUCUCCGCCGCGCUGCCCCACCUCGCCGACUUCAACGCCUCCAACAACCAGCUCUCCGGGAGGGUGCCCGACGGCAUGCGGGCCAGGUUCGGCGCGGCCUCCUUCGCCGGGAAUGCGGGCCUCUGCGGGCAGGCCCCUCCGCUGCCGCUUUGCUCCUUCAUCCCGCACGACGACCCUUCGCGGCCCUCUUCUUCCAAUGCCUCCUCCUCCUCGCCUGCAUCUGGUCGGUCCGUGGUGCCGUCCAAUCCCAGCUCGAUGCCGGCAACGAACGACAGCGGUGGAGGAAGGGGGAGUAGGGGAUUGAGCACCGGAGCGAUUAUCGGGAUCGCCGUCGGAAACGCCUUGUUUUUGCUGGUGCUCCUCUCCUUGCUGGCGGCAUAUUGCUGCUGCGCCGGAGAAACUUUGGGAGAGAAGGAGCUGGACAAGAGCAGCUGCGGCGGCGGCGGCCUUUCCUACUGCUGUGAUCCGGAAGGGAAUCGGCCGUCGGGAGGAGUGGGCCGACGCAGCGACGGCGGGGAAAGCGACGGGGCGCAGAGCAAGCUGGUGUUCUUCGGAUCGGGAGAGGAAACUAAUGAAGCCGAGGAGGAGGAGGAGGAGGAGGAGGAGGAGGAGGAUAAGAGUAGGAGGAGGAAAUCGGGGAUGAAGUUGACGAGGAGGAUGGAUGGCGGCCAGCGCCGGUUUGAGCUGGAGGAGCUGCUGAGGGCGUCGGCGGAGAUGGUGGGCAAGGGGAGCCUGGGGACGGUGUACAGGGCGAUGCUGGAGGAUGGCUGCAUGGUGGCCGUGAAGCGGCUGAGGGACGCCAACCCCUGCGCCCGCAGGGACUUCCACAGGUACAUGGACCUCAUAGGCCGCCUCCGCCACCCCAACCUCGUCCCCCUCAGAGCCUACUACUACGCCAAACAGGAGAAGCUCCUCAUCUACGACUUCCUCCCCAACGGCACCCUCCACGCCCGCCUCCACGCAAGUCGUGGUGCGGGGCUGCCGCCGCUGGAUUGGACCACUAGAAUCAGGCUGGUGUUGGGUGCAGCUCGGGGGCUGGCUCGCAUCCACGACGAGUACCGUUCGUCCGGGAUCCCCCACGGCAACGUCAAGUCCGCCAACGUCCUGCUCGACAAGAACGGAGUUGCCUGCAUUGCCGACUUCGGUCUUGCUCUGCUUCUUAGCCCGGCCCAUGCUGUUGCCCGCCUCGGCAGCUACGUGGCACCCGAGCAGGCCGAGUUUAAGCGGCUUUCCCAGCAGGCUGACGUCUACAGUUUCGGCGUGCUCGUCCUGGAGGUCCUCACGGGGAGGGCCCCCGCCACUCAGAUUCAAUGCCCCCCUCAUGCUUCUCAAAGCAGGAACAACAACAACAACAACAACAACAACAACAACAAGUAUACCCAUACGAAUGCAGGCAGCAUGGUCGGGGCCAGCCUGCCCGAAUGGGUGAGGUCCGUGGUGAGGGAGGAGUGGACGGCGGAGGUGUUCGACCCGGAGCUGUUGCGGUACAAGAACAUAGAGGACGAGAUGGUGGCAAUGCUGCAUGUGGGGCUGGCGUGCGUGGCCCAACAGCCGGAGCAGAGGCCCACCAUGAGGGAGGUGGUGAAGAUGAUCGAGGACAUGAGGGUGGAGCAGUCGCCGCUCCCAGAGGAGGAGCUUGAGGAUGACGACCCUCGAUUCUCGCUCUCCCAUUCUCUCGCAACCAACAUAGAUCAGGACGGAGACUCCCGCAUCAGCUACUAGUCCUAAAUCUAAUCCAACAAUUCUCUGUUUCUGAGAAGAUUUGCUCCUCAACAAUCCCAAAUCUCGUCCGGCUGCCUUUCGAGUUCCGACUGGGCGAUGAACAGCGUUCUACCAUCCUUCUCAGACAGCGGUCAUCAUCUGCACUCUUCUAGCCUCUUUAUACAUCAUUUCUAGUGUACAAUUAAAUAUUUCUUCUUUUUUUUAUUUUCCUGAAUCCAUAAAUUCACAUUUCAGAAUCCACAAAUUUACAUUUCAGCUGUGUUCGGGCCUUAGCAGUUCAAAAAAGGGCCCGAAACCAGAAGCAAAUGGAAGCCUUUCCAUAUCACCGAUAUAUUGUUUGUCUCUCGAUAAAUUCAUGUAAUACUACUGUACUACAUAACUGAACUAACUAAAAGUUCAUGUAUGACAAUGUAUACAAAAAAAAUUGUUUUUCCAUUCUGUUUAUUUUCAGUUUUCUUCUAUUAUCUAAUGGAGGGUGAACAUCACAAGAAAACAAGAUCCAUAUUCAUCCCCAUAGCUUCAGUAUAUACUAUAUAGUGCCUAUAACUGGUGUGAAAGCUGGCCAACCAUCCAAGAAGACCCUGCUCGUCUGUCAUGAAUGAGAGGAGCAGUGUAGUUGCUGACCAUGUCGGAUCUAUAAUCCUGCGCGAGCAACCAUUUCGGAUAACCACUUCCGAAUUUGUCCUCCUGACUUCUGGGAACUAACCAUCGGAAAAUAAAUUAUGAGUAAAUU
Molecule: RNA transcript, 3332 nt
Organism: Ananas comosus (pineapple)
Lineage: Eukaryota; Viridiplantae; Streptophyta; Magnoliopsida; Poales; Bromeliaceae
Gene name: leucine-rich repeat receptor-like protein kinase PXC1
Exons: 3
Source: RefSeq, a predicted model, not a curated record